UACAGAGGGUGCAAGCGUUGUUCGGAAUUAUUGGGCGUAAAGCGCGUGUAGGCGGUGAUGCAUGUCGGGUGUGAAAGCCCUCAGCUUAACUGAGGAAGUGCGCCCGAAACUGCAUCGCUGGAGUGUCGGAGAGGAAGGCGGAAUUCCCGGUGUAGAGGUGAAAUUCGUAGAUAUCGGGAGGAACACCAGUGGCGAAGGCGGCCUUCUGGACGAACACUGAAGCUGAGACGCGAAAGCGUGGGUAGCAAACAGG
RNAcentral lists this ribosomal RNA (253 nucleotides) under uncultured bacterium. RNAcentral's name for it is "partial 16S ribosomal RNA". It matches the Rfam family "Bacterial small subunit ribosomal RNA", at positions 524 to 776 of the family's 1533-position model. The record is from RNAcentral.